Molecule: ribosomal RNA, 515 nt
Filed under: uncultured bacterium
Lineage: Bacteria
Description: partial 16S ribosomal RNA
Rfam family: Bacterial small subunit ribosomal RNA
Source: RNAcentral
GAUGAACGCUGGCGGCGUGCCUAAUACAUGCAAGUCGAGCGAAUGGAUUGAGAGCUUGCUCUCAAGAAGUUAGCGGCAGACGGGUGAGUAACACGUGGGUAACCUGCCCAUAAGACUGGGAUAACUCCGGGAAACCGGGGCUAAUACCGGAUAACAUUUUGAACUGCAUGGUUCGAAAUUGAAAGGCGGCUUCGGCUGUCACUUAUGGAUGGACCCGCGUCGCAUUAGCUAGUUGGUGAGGUAACGGCUCACCAAGGCAACGAUGCGUAGCCGACCUGGGAGGGUGAUCGGCCACACUGGGACUGAGACACGGCCCAGACUCCUACGGGAGGCAGCAGUAGGGAAUCUUCCGCAAUGGACGAAAGUCUGACGGAGCAACGCCGCGUGAGUGAUGAAGGCUUUCGGGUCGUAAAACUCUGUUGUUAGGGAAGAACAAGUGCUAGUUGAAUAAGCUGGCACCUUGACGGUACCUAACCAGAAAGCCACGGCUAACUACGUGCCAGCAGCCGCAGUAA